AGUGGGAUUGCUGGGUCAUAUGGUAGUUCUAUUUUUCGUUUUUUAAGAAACUUCCAGAUUGUUUUCCAUAGUGGCUGCAAUUAUUUACAUUCUCACCAAUGGU
This 103-nucleotide microRNA precursor is filed under the name Marmota monax (woodchuck). Lineage: Eukaryota; Metazoa; Chordata; Mammalia; Rodentia; Sciuridae. The record is from RNAcentral.